UCUUGGUCAUUUAGAGGAAGUAAAAGUCGUAACAAGGUUUCCGUAGGUGAACCUGCGGAAGGAUCAUUAAAGAAAUUUAAUAAUUUUGAAAAUGGAUUUUUUUGUUUUGGCAAGAGCAUGAGAGCUUUUACUGGGCAAGAAGACAAGAGAUGGAGAGUCCAGCCGGGCCUGCGCUUAAGUGCGCGGUCGUGCUAGGCUUGUAAGUUUCUUUCUUGCUAUUCCAAACGGUGAGAGAUUUCUGUGCUUUUGUUAUAGGACAAUUAAAACCGUUUCAAUACAACACACUGUGGAGUUUUCAUAUCUUUGCAACUUUUUCUUUGGGCAUUCGAGCAAUCGGGGCCCAGAGGUAACAAACACAAACAAUUUUAUCUAUUCAUUAAAUUUUUGUCAAAAACAAGAAUUUUCGUAACUGGAAAUUUUAAAAUAUUAAAAACUUUCAACAACGGAUCUCUUGGUUCUCGCAUCGAUGAAGAACGCAGCGAAAUGCGAUACGUAAUGUGAAUUGCAGAAUUCCGUGAAUCAUCGAAUCUUUGAACGCACAUUGCGCCCCUUGGUAUUCCAGGGGGCAUGCCUGUUUGAGCGUCAUUUCCUUCUCAAACAUUCUGUUUGGCAGUGAGUGAUACUCUUUGGAGUUAACUUGAAAUUGCUGGCCUUUUCAUUGGAUGUUUUUUUUCCAAAGAGAGGUUUCUCUGCGUGCUUGAGGUAUAAUGCAAGUACGGUCGUUUUAGGCUUUACCAACUGCGGCUAAUCUUUUUUUAUACUGAGCGUAUUGGAACGUUAUCGAUAAGAAGAGAGCGUCUAGGCGAACAAUGUUCUUAAAGUUUGACCUCAAAUCAGGUAGGAGUACCCGCUGAACUUAAGCAUAUCAAUAAGCGGAG
This 878-nucleotide ribosomal RNA is filed under the name uncultured fungus. Its description in RNAcentral is "eukaryotic LSU rRNA". The stretch from base 432 to 585 matches the Rfam family "5.8S ribosomal RNA". Lineage: Eukaryota; Fungi. The record is from RNAcentral.